RNAcentral lists this ribosomal RNA (150 nucleotides) under uncultured eukaryote. RNAcentral's name for it is "partial small subunit ribosomal RNA". It matches the Rfam family "Eukaryotic small subunit ribosomal RNA", at positions 1651 to 1798 of the family's 1831-position model. The record is from RNAcentral.
CCCUGCCAUUUGUACACACCGCCCGUCGCUACUACCGAUUGAAUGGCUUAGUGAGUCCUCCGGAUCAGAAGGUGUCGCCGGCAACGGCGUUCAUCCUUUAGAGAAGUUGGGCAAACUUGGUCAUUUAGAGGAAGUAAAAGUCGUAACAAG